Myotis myotis is the source of this 6719-nucleotide RNA transcript. It is a transcript of the gene named guanylate cyclase 2C, with no coding region annotated. The transcript is spliced from 27 exons. The record is from RefSeq and is a predicted model, not a curated record. NCBI's taxonomy places the organism in Eukaryota, Metazoa, Chordata, Mammalia, Chiroptera, Vespertilionidae.
CUAUUUCUUUCUGCCUCUCCCUUCCUUUCUGAAAUCAAUUUAAAAAAAAAAAUCAUUCGAUGUAUUUCCUGCCAAUUCAAGUACCUCGAUGGUGAAGUACUCUAGGUUACUGUGUCGUGUACAGCAGCAGUCACGCCCACACGUCCAUGGCUGGCUAUCCUAGAUUUCAGGUGUGAAUAAAGUGCCCACCGGAAACUAGUUCUCUACUGACAGGAAACCUGAGCUCCUCCCAGCCCUACUGCCAGCCAAUUCUGCUGAAGCUCAAAAAAGCAAGGUAGAGAAAGGACUAGUCAGACACCCGGUGAGAUCCCACUGCCUACCCCCUCGAACUGCGUUUCAAACUGGUGGGACCAUCUUGGUUUUUGUGUUCCACUGGUUGCUGCAGCUCCUUCAUUGUACUCCAAAGCUCUCCCACAGCUAUUUUUAUCAGUGAGUGAUGGUUAAUUUAUUCUUUUUGUGGAGGGAUGAAGGCUGGGACCUCCUAGUCCUCCAUCUUGUUGAUGUCACUCACUUUAGAACAUACAUUUUGCCACAAGUGGUCAUCAAAUCAAUGACGCAAACAAUGGCAUUAUUUGAUCAGUCAUAUCACACUUGUGACUCUAUUCCCAAAACCCUGUUUAGAUCCAGGUCCUCUUCCCAAACUCCAUGGCGACUAUUCUCACACUUGCACAGUCUCCUUAAAAUCAGCAUGUCCACAAACAGAAGUCAUGCUCUUCUCCCUCAAAGCUGCUCCUUUCGCGGAAUUCUAGAACGUAGUCCACAGUUUUCCCAUCUACACAGCUGAGCAUAUCGGCGGUCACCAUUGACUCCUCUCUGACUCGAAUGCCCCAAAUCUAAUACAAUAUCAGUCUAACCCAUUUUACCUUAUAGCUGUCUCUUGAUCCCAUCUCCGCUGCCACUUCCCUCAUCCAGACCUCCUUUACUUCUGAAUUGGACCAUAGAAACAGCCUCCUGAUUUGUUCCAUGUCCCCACUCCUGCCUCUCUCCAAGUUAAUCCUCCCUUAGCAGCCUAAGACCUCUUCAAGACCACUUUACAAAUUUCAUCUGAUCACAUCCUUGUCUUGAUUCUUAUCCUUAAGUUCCAAAUUCUUAAUGGCUUACAGGAAACCCCAUGGCCUACCCGGCUACUCCUCUGGCAUCUUUUACUGCCACUGGACUCAUACCUCUCUCCAUGCCAGCCAUUCUGCACCUCUUUCAGUUCUUCAAACAUCCAUACCACUUCCCAUAUCUGGGCCUUUGCACAAGCUGUCUCCCUCCCUCACAUGCCCUCUUUUGCAUUCCUAUGGAUCCUGCAGGGUUCAACUUAAAGAAUGCUUUCCAAGGAACGCUUCCUUGACUUCCUAGAAUAGAUUAGGUUAAUCUGUCAUAUGCUCCCACAACAUUUUGCACUUUUUUCAUUGUUCAAUUUAUUCUUAAGUAUUUGUUUAAUGUUUAUCUGCCCUCCUAGAAUGCAUGUAUCAUAAGGACAUUAAUGCACCCAUAUCAUUCAUAUCUGUAUGCCCAGUGUUUUGCCAAUACCCAACACAUAGUCAGGUCUCAAUAAAUAAUUGCCAACUGAGUGGUUGAAAAACAGUUCUUCCUAGUUAAGGAUUCAGUUUCAAUGCACAGUUAUAAUCUAAACACUAGCAGUCCAUCAUAUUUGUGCUUUUGUUAAGCCUUUUGACUUUUUUUUUCCACAUUACAAAACGUUUUAUGUACAUACUAUACUUCCCUCUUCCAAUGAUGUGUCAUAAAUUGAUGUAUUUUUAUUGGGUGAGGCCCAGGUAAUCUCCGUUUAUAACUCUGACCUUUCUGUGAGCAAACACAAAAAGUGAACUUUGGUUUAUCUCCUACCAUAAUGUAGCUGCUUAUUACUGGCGAGCAGGCUGUAUUCCAUGGCUCAUGUGACCAGUGGGGUCUGACCAGAAAGAAAUGUGCGGCAGAGCAGACCGAGGGACCUAGCUAGAGGCUGUCCAGCCGGAGCUCCUGUCUCCCUAAAAGCCCAGAGUAAAGCAACUGAGCACAAGGAGUAUGGUUCUGAGGUGAGCGAGGUCAUGAAGAAACCACUGUUGGGCUUGACUCUGUGGUUACUGCUCCUCUGUCCAGGGCUGAUGUGUCUCAACAACGAGGUGAUUCAGAAAUGCAACAAUGGCACCUACGAGAUCAGCGUCCUGAUAAUGAAAAACUCAGCCUUCCCAGAGCCCCCGGUAAAGCUGGAAAGUGCAGUGAGACAGGGAGUGAAAAUCGUGAAUCGGCAUCUGAAGGAUUAUGGAAUAAAUGCAACUGUGAACGCUAGCUUUAUCCGUACAGAGGAUGCGUUUUAUAAGUCAAAUGACUGUCGGAGUAGCACCUGUGAAGGCCUUGACCUACUCAGGAGAAUUUUCAAUAAAAAAGAGGUGGGUUGUGUCCUCAUGGGACCCUCGUGUACAUAUUCCACCUUCCAGAUGUACCUUGAUGCAAAUUUUACAUAUCCCAUGAUUUCAGCUGGAAGUUUUGGAUUGUCAUGUGACUUCAAAGAAAAUUUAACCAGGUUGAUGUCUCCAGCUAGGAAGUUGACUCACUUCUUGGUUGACUUUUGGAAGAUUAAUAAUUUGUCAUUUAAAACCUCUCCCUGGACCACUGCAUAUGUUUUCAAGAAUAAUAACGAAUCUGAGGACUGUUUAUGGUACCUCAAUGCUCUAGAGGCUGGAGUUUCUUAUUUUUCUCAGGAACUUAGCUUCAAAGAGGUAUUGAGAGGAAAGGCUGAGUUUCAGAAAAUCUUAAUGGACCAGGAUAGGAAAAGCAAUGUGAUUAUUGUGUGUGGUACACCAGACAUCAUCCCCUCCAUCAAGGGUGACCGGGAAGUGGCUGAAGACACUGUCAUUAUUCUAGUGGAUCUAUUUAAUAACCACUAUUUCAUGGACAAUGUCACAGCCCCUGACCAUAUGAAAAAUGUCCUUGUUUUGACACUGCCUCCUGAAGAGUCCAUCCCAGAUAGUUCUUUUCCCCAGGACUUAUCAUUGGAGUUAAAUGACUUUUCUCUUGCCUAUUUGAAUGGAAUCUUGCUCUUUGGACAUGUGCUAAAGACAUUUCUUGGAAAAGGAAAAGAAGUUGACACCGACGAACUUGCUCAUGCUUUCAGGAACCUCACUUUCGAAGGGUAUAAGGGCCCUGUGACUUUGGACAUCUAUGGGGACAUCGACAAUACUAUGGUGCUUCUGUAUACCUCUGUGGAGACCAACAAAUACAAUGUACUUUUGACCUAUGACACCCACACAAAUGUCACUAACCCAGUGAAUGACAGCCCCGCAUUCAUCUGGAAGAACCGGAAGCUUCCUAAUGAUACUCCAGACCGGGGACCUCAAAUCCUGAUGAUCGCUGUCUUCACUCUCACCGGCACUGUGGUCUUGGUCCUGCUGGCCGCGCUCCUGGUGCUGAGAAAAUACAAAAAAGCGCAUGAACGUCGUCAGAAAAAAUGGUCCCACAUUCCCUGUGAAAAGAUCAUUCCUCUGGAGACCAAUGAGACCAACCAUGUGAGCCUGAAGAUCGAUGAUGACAAGAGACGAGAUACAAUUCAGAGACUGCGACAGUGCAAAUACGACAAAAAGAGAGUGAUUCUAAAGGAUCUCAAGCACAACGAUGGCAAUUUCACAGAGAAGCAGAAGAUAGAACUGAACAAGUUGCUUCAGAUUGACUAUUACAACCUAACCAAAUUCUACGGAACUGUGAAGCUUGAUACCAUGAUCUUCGGGGUGGUCGAAUACUGUGAGCGAGGAUCCCUCCGGGAAGUUUUAAAUGACACAAUUUCCUACCCUGAUGGUACAUUCAUGGAUUGGGAGUUUAAGAUCUCUGUCUUGUAUGACAUUGCUAAGGGGAUGUCAUAUCUGCACUCCAAUAAGACAGAAGUCCAUGGGCGUCUGAAAUCCACCAACUGCGUGGUGGACAGUAGGAUGGUGGUGAAGAUCACCGAUUUUGGCUGCAAUUCCAUUUUACCUCCAAGAAAAGACCUGUGGACAGCCCCAGAGCACCUCCGUCAAGCCAGCAUCUCUCAGAAAGGGGACGUGUACAGCUACGGGAUCAUCGCACAGGAGAUCAUCAUGCGGAGGGAAACCUUCUACACGCAGUGCUGCCGCGACCAGAAUGAGAAGAUUUUCAGAGUGGAGAGUUCCAAUGGAGUGAAGCCCUUCCGCCCAGAUCUGUUCCUGGAAACUGCCGAGGAGAAGGAGCUGGAAGUAUAUCUACUUGUAAAAAACUGCUGGGAGGAAGAUCCAGAAAAGAGACCAGAUUUCAAGAAAAUUGAGAAUACACUGGCCAAGAUAUUUGGCCUUUUUCAUGACCAGAAAAGUGAAAGUUAUAUGGACACCUUGAUCCGACGUCUACAGCUCUACUCUCGAAAUCUGGAACAUCUGGUGGAGGAAAGAACACAGCUGUACAAGGCAGAGAGGGACAGAGCUGACAGACUAAAUUUUAUGUUGCUCCCAAGGCUAGUGGUUAAGUCCCUGAAGGAGAAAGGCAUUGUGGAGCCUGAACUAUAUGAGGAAGUUACCAUCUACUUCAGUGACAUCGUAGGUUUCACCACUAUCUGCAAAUACAGCACCCCCAUGGAAGUGGUGGACAUGCUGAAUGACAUCUAUAAGAGCUUUGACCACAUUCUCGAUCACCAUGACGUGUACAAGGUGGAAACCAUUGGUGAUGCCUACAUGGUAGCUAGCGGCUUGCCUAAGAGAAACGGCAAUCGGCACGCAGUGGACAUUGCCAAGAUGGCCUUGGAUAUUCUCAGCUUCAUGGGGACCUUCGAGCUGGAGCAUCUUCCCGGCCUCCCGAUCUGGAUUCGCAUUGGAGUUCACUCUGGUCCCUGUGCCGCGGGCGUCGUGGGGAUCAAGAUGCCUCGUUAUUGCCUAUUUGGAGACACCGUCAACACAGCCUCUAGGAUGGAAUCCACUGGCCUCCCCUUGAGAAUCCAUGUGAGUGGCUCCACCAUAGCCAUCCUGAAGAGAACCGAGUGCCAGUUCUUGUAUGAAGUGAGAGGAGAAACGUACUUAAAGGUACCCAACUUUUGCCCCCAAUUCCUCCUCCAUACCCAAGAGCCACGGUCCCGUCCAGGAGUAAUUUAACUACAGUCAAUGUCCCUGUCUCCUUGCGUUCUUGCUCUUACUUCAAGAUGCUGUCCUUGCUCUUACUUCAAGAUGCUGCAGCUCUAAGGCCACCUCUCCAGCCAGUUGCUUUAUCAUUCAAAGCUCUGGACAAGAGAUGGCAAGCUGGCCUCCAAAGCCACCAAAUGCCUCCACUUGGCCCUCAGGCUGCUUUCUGAAGGUCAUUACAAUCUUUUCACAAUUGGUCUGCAGCCAACUAUUGCCAGUAAGAUCAUCUGUCCCCAGUAGCCAUAGCGCUUCUAGCCUUUACUCUGUGGUUGCAACUUAAGCCUCCUUUUAUGUAUUAGGGUCCUAACAUCACACUCACUUUUUAAUCCUCCAGAAAUACAUUAAUACAUUUUCUACACCAAGCAUUUCUCCCCAGAUAGAAGCGGUUUAUGGAUUACUACAAUUCAAAAACAUUAAAAAACCCGCUAUUUUUAAAGAUGAGUGAUUUUAAAUAUAUAUAUAUAUAUAUAUAUAUUUAUAUAUAUCCAUCCACUUUCAAAUACCAGCUCUAGCAAAACCAGGAUUUUCAGUAAGUUUCCAUUCAUUUUAUAGCCUCCAGAUGGGCCCAGAAAAAUGUCAGUAAGUAUUUAUUAUGAUGCACAUGUGUUUAUAGUUUACACACUUUAGGUGGGGAAACUGUGGCAAAACGUUUGUGGCAAAUUUCAUGGCAAAAUGAGCCAGAAGAAAAUGUGGAUAAUGAAAACCAGUCAGAUUUGUUGGCAUAACAGAACUUUAGAUGAAUUUUCUUCCUUUUUAAUUUAGAGUUCUUGUGAUGUUGUCAUAGUGAUAUUUUAAAAUCUUUGGGGACUCUGAAGGAAACAUGUCUGGUGAUUGAGAGACUUGUUUUUAUUGAUUUUAGAGAGAGAAAGAGAAAGAGAGAAAUCAAUUUGUUGUUCCACUUAUUUAUACAUUCAUUGGUAGAUUCUUGUAUGUGCUCUGACUGGGUCUUGAACCCACAACCUUGGCGUAUCAGAAUAAUGCUCUAACCAACUGAGCUACCAGCAAGGGCAAGAGACUUGUUUCUAAAAGGUCACUUGGAGCCCUAGCUGGUUUGGCUCAGUGUUUAGAGCGUCAGCCCGUGGACUGAAGGUCAAAGGUUUGAUUCCUAUCAAGGGCAUGUACCUUGGUUGCAGGCUCCAAUCCUGGCCUUAGCCAGGGUUUGUGCAGAAGGCAACCAAUCGAUGUGUCUCUCUCACAUCAAUGUUUCUCUCUCUCUCUCUAGAAAUCAAGGGAAAAAAUAUCCUCGGGUGAGGAUUAACAACAACAAAAUAAAAAUAAUAAGAGGCAUUUGGAAAUAAGCUCUGUCCAUAUGUAAGGCAGAUCAUACCAGGAAGGUACGCUGCACUGAAAUAUAGGCACUGAUGAGGAACUCAGAGGGGAAAUGUUUCUUAGAAACAGACACUUGUCAGAACAGUGGGCUAGAACUGAACUGUCUCAUUGGCCUCCAUGGUUCUCACCUCUCCCGUCUCACUAGGGAAAAGGAACCGAGACCACCUACUGGCUGACUGGGAUGAAGGACCAAGAGUACAACCUACCAGCCCCUCCUACUGUGGAGAAUCAACAGCGCUUGCAGGCUGAGUUUUCAGACAUGAUUGCCAACUCUUUGCAGAAAAGACAGAC